CAGGGGAUAGUUUAUUUAAAAUAUUAAUUUUGGAGAUUAAUGAUAAGAGAUUUUCUUUCCCUUGA
RNAcentral lists this transfer RNA (65 nucleotides) under Labidostomis ghilianii. Its description in RNAcentral is "tRNA-Pro". Lineage: Eukaryota; Metazoa; Arthropoda; Insecta; Coleoptera; Chrysomelidae. The record is from RNAcentral.